RNAcentral lists this small RNA (742 nucleotides) under Pongo abelii (Sumatran orangutan). RNAcentral describes it as "processed transcript". The record is from RNAcentral. Lineage: Eukaryota; Metazoa; Chordata; Mammalia; Primates; Hominidae.
GCUGCUCCUCCAGCCAGACCACGGCAGGCUUCCUGAAGGCAUGCUUUGGCUCUCUUGUUCACCAGGAGAAUAAGCCAAUGCAUGGCAAGCACUAAAUCUUAGAUCCCGAAGACUCGGCCCUUGGCAAAAGACACGCACCUCCCCGCUCACCGGGCCCUGGAUGGGGAGGGUGCUCCUCUUAGAGGCCCCUGGCAUGCCUCAGAGGGGCCUUUCGAGGCAGCUGGGAGGCAGAUCCUCACACUCUGCCCUCCUCUCCCCCAGGUACAAGAUGGUGGUGACCCCCCGGAGGGCGGCGGUGGCCAUUGCCGGCUGCUGGAUCCUCUCCUUCGUGGUGGGACUGACCCCUAUGUUUGGCUGGAACAAUCUGAGUGCGGUGGAGCGGGCCUGGGCAGCCAACGGCAGCAUGGGGGAGCCCGUGAUCAAGUGCGAGUUCGAGAAGGUCAUCAGCAUGGAGUACAUGGUCUACUUCAACUUCUUCGUGUGGGUGCUGCCCCCGCUUCUCCUCAUGGUCCUCAUCUACCUGGAGGUCUUCUACCUAAUCCGCAAGCAGCUCAACAAGAAGGUGUCGGCCUCCUCCGGCGACCCGCAGAAGUACUAUGGGAAGGAGCUGAAGAUCGCCAAGUCGCUGGCCCUCAUCCUCUUCCUCUUUGCCCUCAGCUGGCUGCCUUUGCACAUCCUCAACUGCAUCACCCUCUUCUGCCCGUCCUGCCACAAGCCCAGCAUCCUUACCUACAUUGCCAUC